CCACCUGACCCCAUGCCGAACUCAGAAGUGAAACGCCGUAGCGCCGAUGGUAGUGUGGGGGCUCCCCAUGCGAGAGUAGGGAACUGCCAGGC
This 92-nucleotide ribosomal RNA is filed under the name Escherichia coli. The record is from RNAcentral. Lineage: Bacteria; Pseudomonadati; Pseudomonadota; Gammaproteobacteria; Enterobacterales; Enterobacteriaceae.